CGCGGGAUUAGGCUUUUGCCAAGAGUAAAUAUCUUGGCGAAUAACUGAUGGGUAAGACUGGUGCCAGCAGCCGCGGUAACACCAGCGUCACGAGUGGCAAUCGUAUUUAUUGGGUCUAAAGCGUCCGUAGCCGGUUUGAUAAGUCUUUUGUGAAAUCGUUGUGCUUAACAUAACGGUAUGCAAAAGAUACUGUUGGACUUGGAACUGGGAUGAGUCAGAGGUAUUCUGUGGGGAGCGGUAAAAUGCUAUAAUCCUCAGAAGACCACCAGUGGCGAAAGCGUCUGACUAGAACAGAUUCGACGGUGAGGGACGAAAGCCAGGGGAGCAAAACGGAUUAGAUACCCGAGUAGUCCUGGCCAUAAACGCUGCGAGCAAGGUGUCGCGUAUCCUUCGUGGAUGCGCGGUGUCGAAGAGAAGUCGUUAAGCUCGCCACCUGGGAAGUAUGGUCGCAAGGCUGAAACUUAAAGGAAUUGGCGGGGGAGCACCACAAGGGGUGCGGCGUGCGGUUUAAUCUAAUUCAACACAGAGAAUCUCACCAGGAGCGACGGCAGGAUGAAGGUCAGUCUAAAGGGCUUACCAGACGAGCCGAGAGGUAGUGCAUGGCCGUCGUCAGCUCGUGCUGUAAGGUGUCCGGUUAAGUCCGGCAACGAGCGAGACCUGUAUCUACAAUUGCUAACGACUCUUUUAGGAGAAUCGAGCACAUUGUGGAGACUGCCUUGGAAACAAGGAGGAAGGCGCAGGCUACGGUAGGUCUGUAUGCUCCGAAUCUUCUGGGCUACACGCGCGCAACAAUGGUAAGGACAAUGUGAUGCGACUCUGAAAAGAGAAGCUAAUCCUCUAAACCUUAUCUUAGUUCAGAUUGAGGAUUGUAAUUCAUCCUCAUGACGAUGGAAUCCCUAGUAAUCAGACGUCAUCAGCGUCUGGUGAAUAUGUCCCUGCUCCUUGCACGUAUUCGCCGAAUCACUAGU
This 968-nucleotide ribosomal RNA is filed under the name uncultured crenarchaeote. RNAcentral describes it as "bacterial SSU rRNA". It matches the Rfam family "Archaeal small subunit ribosomal RNA", at positions 394 to 1362 of the family's 1478-position model. The record is from RNAcentral. Lineage: Archaea; Thermoproteati; Thermoproteota.